CUCUUCCUCAUCACUCCUGCUUCACUGCAGACUCACACAGCAUCUCUGGACCUCCUGAUCUGAACAACAGAGAAAAUGGUUUUUGCUGUACCACUGAGGAUCCUUGUGAUCUGCCUGCUUCACUUUUGUACCUGUGCUGUAGGUGCGGAUGUGAACCCAAAAACUCUCAUGGAUAUUGUAAAGAACUUUGAGAAUCAGUUGGGUAACGUAGGAUAAUACGCUGUCGCGUUCAGAGUCGAGAAGAACAAAUGUCUUCAAGGUUCUGACUAUCCAAGUCAGAACUUACUAACUGAAGUGAAACAAAAACUUCAGAAAAAUGAGGUUUAUGUGAGCAGUAACCUCAUCGCUGCAAAGGCUGAUAAAGAUAAACAAGAUCAUUCAGAGUUUCGGCUGAAGAAUUAUCUGAAGAACAUCUUGAAUGGAAAAGAUGAAUGUGUGGUUUAUUUCACUGUAAAUUCACCCUGUUUGAAUAAAUGUGUAUCAGAUUCCUGUGAAUUCAGCAUUAAAGACAAUCUUGAAAUGUUACAAAAAUAUGAGGGAAUUAAAGCCUUUGCAUUCAAAAUAGUCUGGAGAGAGGAUAAAAAGGAGGA
This is a long non-coding RNA of Megalobrama amblycephala (Wuchang bream), 590 nucleotides long. RefSeq lists it as uncharacterized. The record is from RefSeq and is a predicted model, not a curated record. NCBI's taxonomy places the organism in Eukaryota, Metazoa, Chordata, Actinopteri, Cypriniformes, Xenocyprididae. The transcript is spliced from 3 exons.